RNAcentral lists this ribosomal RNA (508 nucleotides) under Faecalibacterium prausnitzii M21/2. RNAcentral describes it as "SSU rRNA". It matches the Rfam family "Bacterial small subunit ribosomal RNA", at positions 26 to 547 of the family's 1533-position model. The record is from RNAcentral. Lineage: Bacteria; Bacillati; Bacillota; Clostridia; Eubacteriales; Oscillospiraceae.
AGGACGAACGCUGGCGGCGCGCCUAACACAUGCAAGUCGAACGAGCGAGAGAGAGCUUGCUUUCUCAAGCGAGUGGCGAACGGGUGAGUAACGCGUGAGGAACCUGCCUCAAAGAGGGGGACAACAGUUGGAAACGACUGCUAAUACCGCAUAAGCCCACGACCCGGCAUCGGGUAGAGGGAAAAGGAGCAAUCCGCUUUGAGAUGGCCUCGCGUCCGAUUAGCUAGUUGGUGAGGUAAUGGCCCACCAAGGCGACGAUCGGUAGCCGGACUGAGAGGUUGAACGGCCACAUUGGGACUGAGACACGGCCCAGACUCCUACGGGAGGCAGCAGUGGGGAAUAUUGCACAAUGGGGGAAACCCUGAUGCAGCGACGCCGCGUGGAGGAAGAAGGUCUUCGGAUUGUAAACUCCUGUUGUUGAGGAAGAUAAUGACGGUACUCAACAAGGAAGUGACGGCUAACUACGUGCCAGCAGCCGCGGUAAAACGUAGGUCACAAGCGUUGUCCG